RNAcentral lists this long non-coding RNA (217 nucleotides) under Mytilus galloprovincialis (Mediterranean mussel). The record is from RNAcentral. Lineage: Eukaryota; Metazoa; Mollusca; Bivalvia; Mytilida; Mytilidae.
UGGGGGGUUCUGGAUCAACGUGGACGUUUUUUAGUCUGUCCUUGAACAAUUUUGGAAUAGCUAAUUUCAGCCUUGUCCAUUCCGAGAUCCAGUUUCUCUUAUCUUUAAGAGUAUUGUAUAUAAAGUUGUCGCUUUUGAUGUUUUUCGUUUCUUCAUCCCAAAUAUCUUUUAUUGUAUGAAUUCCACUUUUUCCGAAGUUAGCGAAAAAAAUAGGUUU